AAUUUCAGAGGACGGAACGGGCCGCCGUCGCCCCCACCACCAUCCGAGGGUGCAGUGGUAAUAUGGGCUGGAGAUGCAGGAGUGUCGCCCUGCCUGAACUU
The submitters of this non-coding RNA (101 nucleotides) gave its source as unclassified sequences. The record is from Rfam.